RNAcentral lists this ribosomal RNA (659 nucleotides) under Acinetobacter sp. EECC-421. Its description in RNAcentral is "bacterial SSU rRNA". It matches the Rfam family "Bacterial small subunit ribosomal RNA", at positions 96 to 750 of the family's 1533-position model. Lineage: Bacteria; Pseudomonadati; Pseudomonadota; Gammaproteobacteria; Moraxellales; Moraxellaceae. The record is from RNAcentral.
CGGCGGACGGGUGAGUAAUGCUUAGGAAUCUGCCUAUUAGUGGGGGACAACAUUCCGAAAGGAAUGCUAAUACCGCAUACGCCCUACGGGGGAAAGCAGGGGAUCUUCGGACCUUGCGCUAAUAGAUGAGCCUAAGUCAGAUUAGCUAGUUGGUGGGGUAAAGGCCUACCAAGGCGACGAUCUGUAGCGGGUCUGAGAGGAUGAUCCGCCACACUGGGACUGAGACACGGCCCAGACUCCUACGGGAGGCAGCAGUGGGGAAUAUUGGACAAUGGGCGCAAGCCUGAUCCAGCCAUGCCGCGUGUGUGAAGAAGGCCUUUUGGUUGUAAAGCACUUUAAGCGAGGAGGAGGCUACUUGGAUUAAUACUCUUGGAUAGUGGACGUUACUCGCAGAAUAAGCACCGGCUAACUCUGUGCCAGCAGCCGCGGUAAUACAGAGGGUGCGAGCGUUAAUCGGAUUUACUGGGCGUAAAGCGUGCGUAGGCGGCUUUUUAAGUCGGAUGUGAAAUCCCUGAGCUUAACUUAGGAAUUGCAUUCGAUACUGGGAAGCUAGAGUAUGGGAGAGGAUGGUAGAAUUCCAGGUGUAGCGGUGAAAUGCGUAGAGAUCUGGAGGAAUACCGAUGGCGAAGGCAGCCAUCUGGCCUAAUACUGACGCUGAG